This 599-nucleotide ribosomal RNA is filed under the name Alteriqipengyuania lutimaris. RNAcentral describes it as "bacterial SSU rRNA". It matches the Rfam family "Bacterial small subunit ribosomal RNA", at positions 96 to 730 of the family's 1533-position model. Lineage: Bacteria; Pseudomonadati; Pseudomonadota; Alphaproteobacteria; Sphingomonadales; Erythrobacteraceae. The record is from RNAcentral.
UGGCGAACGGGUGCGUAACGCGUGGGAACCUGCCCUUAGGUUCGGAAUAACAGUUAGAAAUGACUGCUAAUGCCGGAUAAUGUCUUCGGACCAAAGAUUUAUCGCCUUUGGAUGGGCCCGCGUAGGAUUAGGUAGUUGGUGAGGUAAAGGCUCACCAAGCCGACGAUCCUUAGCUGGUCUGAGAGGAUGAUCAGCCACACUGGGACUGAGACACGGCCCAGACUCCUACGGGAGGCAGCAGUAGGGAAUAUUGGACAAUGGGCGAAAGCCUGAUCCAGCAAUGCCGCGUGAGUGAUGAAGGCCUUAGGGUUGUAAAGCUCUUUUACCAGGGAUGAUAAUGACAGUACCUGGAGAAUAAGCUCCGGCUAACUCCGUGCCAGCAGCCGCGGUAAUACGGAGGGAGCUAGCGUUGUUCGGAAUUACUGGGCGUAAAGCGCGCGUAGGCGGCUUUUCAAGUCAGGGGUGAAAUCCCGGGGCUCAACCCCGGAACUGCCCUUGAAACUGGAUGGCUAGAAUACUGGAGAGGUGAGUGGAAUUCCGAGUGUAGAGGUGAAAUUCGUAGAUAUUCGGAAGAACACCAGUGGCGAAGGCGACUCACU